RNAcentral lists this ribosomal RNA (415 nucleotides) under uncultured bacterium. Its description in RNAcentral is "bacterial SSU rRNA". It matches the Rfam family "Bacterial small subunit ribosomal RNA", at positions 29 to 429 of the family's 1533-position model. The record is from RNAcentral.
AACGAACGCUGGCGGCGUGCCUAACACAUGCAAGUCGUGCGAGAAAGUUCCUUCGGGAGCGGGUAAAGCGGCGCACGGGUGAGUAACACGUAGGUAACCUGCCCCCCAGUCUGGAACAACUAGAGGAAACUCUAGCUAAUGCCGGAUGAGACCACGAUCCCUUCGGGGGUUGCGGCCAAAGAUGGCCUCUACUUGUAAGCUAUCGCUGAGGGAUGGGCCUGCGGGCCAUUAGCUUGUUGGUGAGGUAACGGCUCACCAAGGCUGUGAUGGCUAGCUGGUCUGAGAGGAUGACCAGCCACACUGGGAGUGAGACACGGCCCAGACUCCUACGGGAGGCAGCAGUGGGGAAUAUUGCGCAAUGGGCGAAAGCCUGACGCAGCGACGCCGCGUGGGUGAUGAAGGCCUCGGUCGUAAG